RNAcentral lists this ribosomal RNA (460 nucleotides) under uncultured bacterium. RNAcentral's name for it is "partial 16S ribosomal RNA". It matches the Rfam family "Bacterial small subunit ribosomal RNA", at positions 338 to 795 of the family's 1533-position model. The record is from RNAcentral.
CCUACGGGGGGCAGCAGUGAGGAAUAUUGGUCAAUGGGCGGGAGCCUGAACCAGCCAAGUCGCGUGAGGGAAGACGGUCCUAUGGAUUGUAAACCUCUUUAGUCGGGGAGCAAUGCCGGGCACGCGUGCCCGGAGGGAGAGUACCCGCAGAACAAGCAUCGGCUAACUCCGUGCCAGCAGCCGCGGUAAUACGGAGGAUGCGAGCGUUAUCCGGAUUUAUGGGGUUUAAAGGGUGCGCAGGCGGCAUUUUAAGUCAGCGGUAAAAUGUCCGGGCUCAACCCGGGCCGGCCGUUGAAACUGGGGAUCUUGAGUGCGCGAGAAGUAUGCGGAAUGCGUGGUGUAGCGGUGAAAUGCAUAGAUAUCACGCAGAACUCCGAUUGCGAAGGCAGCAUACCGGCGCCCGACUGACGCUGAGGCACGAAAGCGUGGGGAUCGAACAGGAUUGGAUACCCCUGUAGUC